This 415-nucleotide ribosomal RNA is filed under the name Frigoribacterium sp. F181. RNAcentral's name for it is "bacterial SSU rRNA". It matches the Rfam family "Bacterial small subunit ribosomal RNA", at positions 117 to 546 of the family's 1533-position model. RNAcentral also lists the same sequence under 1 other name. Lineage: Bacteria; Bacillati; Actinomycetota; Actinomycetes; Micrococcales; Microbacteriaceae. The record is from RNAcentral.
GUGAGUAACCUGCCCUUGACUCUGGGAUAAGCGCUGGAAACGGCGUCUAAUACCGGAUACGAGCUUCAGCCGCAUGGCUAGGAGUUGGAAAGAAUUUCGGUCAAGGAUGGACUCGCGGCCUAUCAGCUAGUUGGUGAGGUAAUGGCUCACCAAGGCGACGACGGGUAGCCGGCCUGAGAGGGUGACCGGCCACACUGGGACUGAGACACGGCCCAGACUCCUACGGGAGGCAGCAGUGGGGAAUAUUGCACAAUGGGCGAAAGCCUGAUGCAGCAACGCCGCGUGAGGGAUGACGGCCUUCGGGUUGUAAACCUCUUUUAGUAGGGAAGAAGCGAAAGUGACGGUACCUGCAGAAAAAGCACCGGCUAACUACGUGCCAGCAGCCGCGGUAAUACGUAGGGUGCAAGCGUUGUCC